This 220-nucleotide ribosomal RNA is filed under the name uncultured eukaryote. RNAcentral's name for it is "partial Bacterial large subunit ribosomal RNA". It matches the Rfam family "Bacterial large subunit ribosomal RNA", at positions 488 to 709 of the family's 2925-position model. The record is from RNAcentral.
UAGCGAACUAGUACCGUGAGGGAAAGGUGAAAAGCACCCCGAUGAGGGGAGUGAAACAGUACCUGAAACGGAUUGCCUACAAGCAGUUGGAGGGGUCUUGUGCCCUGACAGCGUACCUCUUGCAUAAUGGGUCUGUGACUUAAUGUAUCAAGCAAGCUUAAGCCGAUAGGUGUAGGCGCAGCGAAAGCGAGUCUGAAUAGGGCGACUGAGUUUGAUGCAU